AGCUGGUUCCAUUUUAGUGGGUUAUCAGAACUUAUUAACAUUAGUGUCAUUAAAAUGGUAUACAAACCCUCACCACUAAUUUGACUGGCUAUAA
This 94-nucleotide non-coding RNA is filed under the name Nomascus leucogenys (northern white-cheeked gibbon). Lineage: Eukaryota; Metazoa; Chordata; Mammalia; Primates; Hylobatidae. The record is from RNAcentral.